This 348-nucleotide long non-coding RNA is filed under the name Phaseolus vulgaris (common bean). RNAcentral's name for it is "long non-coding RNA (PVUL_LNC002421)". Lineage: Eukaryota; Viridiplantae; Streptophyta; Magnoliopsida; Fabales; Fabaceae. The record is from RNAcentral.
GUAUUCCUGCCCUUCUGGAGGAUGGAAUCAAUUUGCUUAUUUAUGCUGGGGAAUAUGAUCUAAUCUGCAACUGGCUUGGUACGUAUUUACUCUUGUCAAGGCAAAGAAUUGAUGAACUUUGCAAUGAAGGGAUUGAUGAACACCUUGCAAUGAGUUUAAGAUCUGUUGUAAAAUUCAAUAUUCAUAUCUAUUAUAGCCUUGCAAUUAAUGGAUUGAUGGACAUUUUCUUGGCAAUGAGUAGGUAAUUCAAGAUGGGUUCACGCCCUGGAAUGGUCUGGUAAGAAAGAAUUUACAACCUCACUUGAAGUUCCUUUUGUUGUUGAUGGGUCAGAAGCCGGAUUAUUGAAG